ACGAACGCUGGCGGCGUGGAUAAGACAUGCAAGUCGAACGGGAUUAUUUUUGUAGCAAUACAGAAAUAAUUCAGUGGCGAACGGGUGCGUAACACGUGGGCAAUCUGCCGAAAAGUGGGGGAUAGCUCGCCGAAAGGCGAAUUAAUACCGCAUGUGGUGAGGGACGACAUCUUCCUGAAUCCAAAGCCGGGGCAACCUGGCGCUUUUUGAGGAGCCCGCGGCCUAUCAGCAGUUGGUGAGGUAACGGCCCACCAAGGCUAUGACGGGUAGCUGGUCUGAGAGGACGACCAGUCACACUGGAACUGAGACACGGUCCAGACACCUAC
This 326-nucleotide ribosomal RNA is filed under the name uncultured bacterium. Its description in RNAcentral is "bacterial SSU rRNA". It matches the Rfam family "Bacterial small subunit ribosomal RNA", at positions 29 to 342 of the family's 1533-position model. The record is from RNAcentral.